UGUUAGAAGAUGUGCCCUUGGGAGA
This 25-nucleotide non-coding RNA is filed under the name Mus musculus (house mouse). Lineage: Eukaryota; Metazoa; Chordata; Mammalia; Rodentia; Muridae. The record is from RNAcentral.